UGAGUAACCUGCCCUUAACUCUGGGAUAAGCCUGGGAAACUGGGUCUAAUACCGGAUAUGACUCCUCAUCGCAUGGUGGGGGUGGAAAGCUUUUUGUGGUUUUGGAUGGACUCGCGGCCUAUCAGCUUGUUGGUGAGGUAAUGGCUCACCAAGGCGACGACGGGUAGCCGGCCUGAGAGGGUGACCGGCCACACUGGGACUGAGACACGGCCCAGACUCCUACGGGAGGCAG
Molecule: ribosomal RNA, 232 nt
Filed under: uncultured bacterium
Lineage: Bacteria
Description: partial 16S ribosomal RNA
Rfam family: Bacterial small subunit ribosomal RNA
Source: RNAcentral